This 4254-nucleotide long non-coding RNA is filed under the name Mus musculus (house mouse). RNAcentral describes it as "long non-coding RNA chr4:48156051-48160305". The record is from RNAcentral. Lineage: Eukaryota; Metazoa; Chordata; Mammalia; Rodentia; Muridae.
AGUGCCACUCCCUGAUGUCUAAGCAUUCAAAUACAUGGGCCUAUGGAGACUAAUCUUAUUCAAACACCACAGGGGCCUACCCAGCUGAAAGUCACUGGCAGUCCUUAGGGACUGCCUAGCCCCUCUUUCUGGUUGGGGAUUGGUUCUGAUGUUUUGAUUUAAUUGGGAAUCUGUGUGUCCAAACGCUGAAGAACCUUGUCUCCAAUUGGCUUUUGAUUGAUCAAUAAAGAUGCCAGUGACCAAUGGCAAAGGCACAGGCAAGGAUGCAGGGGAGGAGAGAGAAGAAUUGCUAUGACGAGGGUGGUGUGUGUGUGUGUGUGUGUGUGUCUGUCUGUCUGUCUUUCAUUUGUGUCUCCAAAUAACUGCAGGGCUGGCAGCUGGACCUGUGACCCUCUGGGAGCAUAAAGCAAAGUAGCCAAACUCCACACUACAUUUUCUAAUGUAUGUGUAGUUGGAGAAGUAUAUUUCUAACUCUUUGUUUGUUUGGUUGGUUGGUUGGUUGUUGUUGUUGUUGUUGUUGUUGUUUGAGACAGGGUUUCUCUGUGUGGCCGUGGCUGUCCUGGAACUCGCUUUGUAGACCAAGCUGGCCUCAAACUCAGCAAUCUGCCUGCCUCUGGCUCCCAAGUGCUGGAACUAAAGGCAUGUGCCACCACUACCUGGCUCUUGUUUUACAGAACACUGUAUGCUUUGACAUGUAUUACCUUUCUUUGCAUUCAGGCUAUAGCAUUUUAAUUUUCAUAGUGACUUCUUUCUUUACAUACAGACUAUUUAGAACUAUCUUUUUUCCUUGUAGACAUAUACUGUCUGUGUGUGUGUGUGUGUGUGUGUGUGUGUGUUUCCAUUGAUGAUUUCAAAUUUAACUUUAUUAUGCUCAGAAAGCAUGCUGUAUAUGUCAAUGUUUUUGAAAUUUGUGAAAGUUGCUUUAAUAGUUUGCUUUUUAUAUACAUAUUUUGUUUGUUAGGUUAAUGUUCUAAGCAACUUAAAUCAAGCUGUGUUAAUCUUAUUGUUGAAACACUCUUCACCUAACAUACCCUUGCUACUUAUUUUAUUAGCUACUGCAGCUUUUAAGACCUUUCAUUAUGAUCAUGGGUUUCUUUAAAAUUUUUGGGUUGGAGAGAUGGCUCAGUGGAUAAAAACAUUUACCACUGAAGCAUUAGAAGCAAUGUUUACACACUGUCUUAGUGUUUCUGUUGCUGGGAAGAGACACCAUGACCAAGGCAAUGCAUAUAAAGGACAACAUUUAACUGAGGCUGGCUUACAGGUUCAGGGGUUUAGUCCAUUAUCAUCAAGGUGGGGCACAUGGCAGCAUCCAGGCAGGCAUGGUGCAGGGGGAACUGAGAGUUCUAUGUUUUAAUCUAACUGCAUCCAGGAGAAUCACUGAUUGUCUCCCAGGCAACUAGGAGGAGGGACUCAAAGCCCACCCCCACAGUGACAUACUUCCUCCAACAAGGCCACACCUCCUAAUUGUGCCACACUCUGGGCCAAGCAUUCAAAUCACCACAGUUUCCAAGAACUCACAUAAGACAGGCAGACAUGGUGACCACCUGUCACCCUAGUACUUGGAAGGCAGAGACAGGGAAUGCCUAGAACAAGCCAUCUGGCUGGAGUAGUUGGAAUCAGUGUACUCCAGUCCAAUCAGAGUCCCUGGCUCAAAAACUAAAGUGAAGAACAGGCAAGGAAGAUACUUGAUAUCAAAUUUGUGCCCACCACAUAUACAUCAGCACACACAUCCAAACUUGUAUACUCACACAUACACAUGUAAGAGGAAAACAGUUGUGUUUCUGUCCGUUUUUGCAUUAUACGUAGUCUGUCUGUCUGUGUUAUUAUAUAUUUCUGAAGAGAAUCUUAUUAUACAGUGAUUCUCUAUUUCUAGUGAUGGGCUAACUUUAGAGUCUAUUUGACAGUAAUGUUCCUGUACUAGGUUGCUCUUGGGAGAGGGAUGUUAGUGUUUAUGUGUUUCCUUUCUUUUUUCUUCUUUUCUUUUUUUUUUUUCACUCUUAGUUUGAGCCAUUUUGUUUUAUGUUUUAAAUGUAUCUUUGUGUAUCCUAUCUGAAAGUAAUCUUUAUUUUAUAUUUAAUAUUGGUUUAAAUAAUAUUUAACAUAAUUGGUGAUUAUAUUUUUGUUCUAUUAUAUACAUUCUUUUUAAUAUUUUAUUUUUUUAAUUUUAUAUAUAGGAUAUAUGUCUAUAUACCACAUGCUUGCCCAUGGAGGCCAGAAGAGGUCAUCAGAUCCCCUGGAACUGGAGUCUAGACAGUUGUGAGCUGCCAUGUGGGUGCUGAGACUUGAACCUGGGUCCUCUAGAAGAGCAAGUGGUGCUCUUACCUGCUGAGCCAAGUUUCUAGCCAAUAUUAUAUGUGUUUUUCUUCUGCUUGAUGGUUCUUGUUUCAUUUUCACUUUUAUUUUACUCAUUUUAGAAUUAUAUACUUGUAUUAGAAAUUAUAGACCAUAUUUGUGCUUUAGCAAUACAGGUCAUUUGGGUGUUUAGAAUAUUUUAGUUCCAUAUUUGCCCCACAAGAUAAAUGCUAGUUGUACAGUAGUCACAUGCAAUAAAGGCAAAGUUACUACAUACAUUCAAAGUUUAAGGGCAUGGAUUCUAGUCUAGCCAAGAAAGAGAUAUGGGAAAGUGAAAAAUUGUGUGUCCCUGUAGAAGACAAUUGGUAAUCAUUUCUAUUCAUGACCAUUAUAGCAAGUUAGUCUGAGAAGAAAUAGGUCUUAUGUUGAGAGAUGGUCCUAGUAGUAUUGCUCUUUUUCAUUUGUAGCAACUGCGCUCCAAUAUCCGAGAAAUGGAGAAGCUUUGCUUGAAAGUGCACAAGGAUGAUCUGGUCCUUUUGAAGCGAAUGAUAGAUCCUGUCAAGGAAGCAGCAGCAACAGCUACGGCAGAGUUCCUCCAGCUCCACUUGGAAUCUGUUGAAGAACUCAAGAAACAAGUCAACGAUGAAGAAUUACUUCAGCCUUCUCUGACCAGAUCCACAACUGUUGAUGGUAACAUAUGUCUUACUUUUGAUCCUACUUGGCACAGUUAGAGAGAGCUCACCUACUCAGGUGUGAUGAACAGAGAGAGGCCCUUGUAAAUCCUUGUCGUUGCUAAGCCAACUCCAAACAGACCAGACAUGUGUACCCUGGAAAUUUUGCAAGAUAAGAUUGUGUGGAUUGGAACUUUGUGGCUUCUAGUACCUGCUUGCUUGUAUUGAAAAGAGAAGUUUAAGUUACUCCUAAAGAUAAUGUUGUCCUUGUGUGCAGUGUGUACCUUUCUGCUCUGCAGUGCAGGGCAGGCUGUCCAGUAGCUGUCCUUGUGUGCAGUGCACAUGUCUCUCCUCCGCAGUGCAGACAGGAGUUGUUCUGACGUCACUGUUGGGUCUCUCUCCUAAUAUGAAGAGUCUAUGGUGUGUUCAUGCUGUCCAGAACUUUUGUGAAGUAAUAUUCUAAGAAACAGUCCUAUGAACACAGUUAUGUCAUUUCUAAGGGUGUAUUUGAUAAUCCUUGGUGACACAAUGCUAGUAUCUUUUAUGCAGAAAAAAAUUGGCAUCAUUGUACUUGAAAGUAGCUGGUUUUUGUUUGGUUGGGAGGUUUGGUUUAGAUUAAGUCUUAUAAGUAGUGAGUGGAAUAACUAAUAAGGUUUCUGUAAUUGAGUUAUCUCCUAGGAAGCUUAAAGCCAAAAUUUUAAUCACCAAAAAUUAAAUUUGUGAAGUGUAUCAGCUUUAUUUUAUAACUGCUGCCUUUGUUUCCUUUUCUGUUGUAAUUGUUUAUCUCUUAUUUUUAAUUUAUUACAUUUUAUAUUUUAUAUGUUUAAAGAGACUUUUAAUCCUUAUGAAAAAUAUGGGCUACAAAAGAAUUAGAAGUUAAAGUGAGAACUUAAGGGAACUGUUGCUGGCCAGGUUUCCUUUUUAUCCAGCAGACCACUCUUGUUACCAUUCCCUAUCUCUAAAUUAAAAUGUGUGCAUGUUCACUGCCAAUGAUUCAGUAGUUUGCAAGGGGACGCAGAAACAUUUAGGCUGCCUGGCAGAGUUUUUGGGUAACCUUUUUUAUAGUCUUUGUAACUUGCACAGUGCUUUGCACAUAGUGAACUGUUCAUAGAUGUAUUACAAAUACAAGACAUGGACAAUUUCAUCGUCAUUUCAGAUAUAUUGCAACAGAGCUGGGCACGGUGCUGCAUAUGUGCAAUCCGGCACUUGGGAAGUUGGGCUAGGGUGAGCAAUUGGGACUUAAAGGCUAUCCUGGGCUAUAUAAGCCUUUUCUUAUAAAUCAAAUCAAACC